This 493-nucleotide ribosomal RNA is filed under the name uncultured bacterium. RNAcentral describes it as "partial 16S ribosomal RNA". It matches the Rfam family "Bacterial small subunit ribosomal RNA", at positions 29 to 523 of the family's 1533-position model. The record is from RNAcentral.
AUUGAACGCUGGCGGCAUGCUUUACACAUGCAAGUCGAACGGUAACAGGUUAAGCUGACGAGUGGCGAACGGGUGAGUAAUGCAUCGGAACGUGCCCGGUCGUGGGGGAUAACGCAGCGAAAGCUGCGCUAAUACCGCAUACGAUCUGAGGAUGAAAGCGGGGGACCGUAAGGCCUCGCGCGAUCGGAGCGGCCGAUGUCAGAUUAGGUAGUUGGUGGGGUAAAGGCUCACCAAGCCAACGAUCUGUAGCUGGUCUGAGAGGACGGCCAGCCACACUGGGGCUGAGACACGGCCCAGACUCCUACGGGAGGCAGCAGUGGGGAAUUUUGGACAAUGGGCGAAAGCCUGAUCCAGCAAUGCCGCGUGCAGGAAGAAGGCCUUCGGGUUGUAAACUGCUUUUGUACGGAGCGAAAAGGUCUCCUCUAAUACAGGGGGCUCAUGACGGUACCGUAAGAAUAAGCACCGGCUAACUACGUGCCAGCCGCCGCGGUAA